Anopheles arabiensis is the source of this 787-nucleotide long non-coding RNA. RefSeq lists it as uncharacterized. NCBI's taxonomy places the organism in Eukaryota, Metazoa, Arthropoda, Insecta, Diptera, Culicidae. The transcript has 2 exons. The record is from RefSeq and is a predicted model, not a curated record.
GUUCUGUAUCGAUCAAAGGGACCAUAGUACACGAGGAACACACACACACACUAUCAGAUAAUUUGCAGAUUCGAUCUUGUAACUUGAUAAUGCAUUGAGUAAUUUGAUUUACUCGUUUGACUAAUUUUGUAACAUGAUUAAUACGAUGGAGCGGGAUGACAUUUAUGAAUCAUCAAAACACACCUGUGAUUGCCAGAAACGAACUGAACGGGGCAUACAAACAAAAUAGUCGGUUACGACCUUUUUUCAUAAUCGGUCCAUCAUUUUCAGUGCAUUUGUUAGCUACGUAUCGAACGAAUGUGAUUUCGCAACCGUUGCGAGGUGACAUGCGAACAGUUUUAUAGCCCUCGUCGUAAACCAUCACUGGACAGAUAAUUCGAUCGGUGGUAUCUAUAAUUGAGAUAUAAAACUAUAUAACCUUCGGUGGAUAUCCAACAGCUUGAAAGCCCAUCGAGAUAAUCCACAUUAUGGCGCGAUACUGUAACGGUAGCAGCGGAAACGCUCGCACAGUCUGCGUCCAAUGUCCAAACAUCCGACAGCGAAAUCCAAGCCAAGAACAACAUCCAGUUCAGAAAGGCAACACCGAGACCCGCACCCGAACCAGUAUGCACCAAGAACCAAGAGUUGAAAGGUCGCUGUCGCCGGUAUUUAUGGCUUUCUUCCGAUUUCCUGAUGGCCUCGCCCCAGCACUGCCACCAGGGUGGAGCAAUGUCGCAAACGUGCAACGGUGCAGCUAGAGUGAAAACGUAAAUUAAUUUCUAUUAAAAAAAAACUAUCCACAACGGCA